UGGGGAAUAUUGCACAAUGGGGGAAACCCUGACCGAGCAACGCCGCGUGAGUGAAGAAGGUUUUCGGAUCGUAAAGCUCUGUUGUUAAGGAAGAACGAGUGUGAGAAUGGAAAGUUCAUGCUGUGACGGUACUUAACCAGAAAGGGACGGCUAACUACGUGCCAGCAGCCGCGGUAAUACGUAGGUCCCGAGCGUUGUCCGGAUUUAUUGGGCGUAAAGCGAGCGCAGGCGGUUAGAAAAGUCUGAAGUGAAAGGCAGUGGCUCAACCAUUGUAGGCUUUGGAAACUGUUUAACUUGAGUGCAGAAGGGGAGAGUGGAAUUCCAUGUGUAGCGGUGAAAUGCGUAGAUAUAUGGAGGAACACCGGUGGCGAAAGCGGCUCUCUGGUCUGUAACUGACGCUGAGGCUCGAAAGCGUGGGGAGCGAACAGG
RNAcentral lists this ribosomal RNA (429 nucleotides) under Verrucomicrobiota bacterium. RNAcentral's name for it is "Verrucomicrobia bacterium partial 16S ribosomal RNA". It matches the Rfam family "Bacterial small subunit ribosomal RNA", at positions 355 to 776 of the family's 1533-position model. Lineage: Bacteria; Pseudomonadati; Verrucomicrobiota. The record is from RNAcentral.